UACGUAGGGGGCAAGCGUUGUCCGGAAUCAUUGGGCGUAAAGAGCGUGUAGGCGGCCCGAUAAGUCCGCCGUGAAAGUCCAGGGCUCAACCCUGGAAUGCCGGUGGAAACUGUCGGGCUGGAGUCCGGAAGAGGCGAGUGGAAUUCCUGGUGUAGCGGUGAAAUGCGCAGAUAUCAGGAGGAACACCAAUGGCGAAGGCAGCAGGCUAAACAAUGAUUGACGCUGAGGCUCGAAAGCGUGGGGAUCAAACAGG
RNAcentral lists this ribosomal RNA (253 nucleotides) under uncultured bacterium. RNAcentral's name for it is "partial 16S ribosomal RNA". It matches the Rfam family "Bacterial small subunit ribosomal RNA", at positions 524 to 776 of the family's 1533-position model. The record is from RNAcentral.